Molecule: ribosomal RNA, 253 nt
Filed under: uncultured bacterium
Lineage: Bacteria
Description: partial 16S ribosomal RNA
Rfam family: Bacterial small subunit ribosomal RNA
Source: RNAcentral
UACGUAGGUGGCAAGCGUUGUCCGGAUUUAUUGGGUUUAAAGGGUGCGUAGGCGGUUUCAUAAGUCAGUGGUGAAAUACGGCAGCUCAACUGUCGAGGUGCCAUUGAUACUGUGAGACUUGAGUACAGACGAGGUAGGCGGAAUUGACGGUGUAGCGGUGAAAUGCUUAGAUAUUGUCAAGAACACCGAUAGCGAAGGCAGCUUACUAGGCUGUAACUGACGCUGAGGCACGAAAGUGUGGGGAUCAAACAGG